RNAcentral lists this ribosomal RNA (504 nucleotides) under uncultured bacterium. Its description in RNAcentral is "bacterial SSU rRNA". It matches the Rfam family "Bacterial small subunit ribosomal RNA", at positions 15 to 507 of the family's 1533-position model. The record is from RNAcentral.
GAUCAUGGCUCAGGAUGAACGCUAGCUACAGGCUUAACACAUGCAAGUCGAGGGGAAACGACAUCGAAAGCUUGCUUUGAUGGGCGUCGACCGGCGCACGGGUGAGUAACGCGUAUCCAACCUGCCCACCACUUGGGGAUAACCUUGCGAAAGUAAGACUAAUACCCAAUGACGUCUCUAGAAGACAUCUGAAAGAGAUUAAAGAUUUAUCGGUGAUGGAUGGGGAUGCGUCUGAUUAGCUUGUUGGCGGGGUAACGGCCCACCAAGGCGACGAUCAGUAGGGGUUCUGAGAGGAAGGUCCCCCACAUUGGAACUGAGACACGGUCCAAACUCCUACGGGAGGCAGCAGUGAGGAAUAUUGGUCAAUGGGCGAGAGCCUGAACCAGCCAAGUAGCGUGCAGGAUGACGGCCCUAUGGGUUGUAAACUGCUUUUAUAAGGGAAUAAAGUGAGCCUCGUGAGGCUUUUUGCAUGUACCUUAUGAAUAAGGACCGGCUAAUUCCGUG